This 236-nucleotide unclassified non-coding RNA is filed under the name plant metagenome. RNAcentral's name for it is "partial contains small subunit ribosomal RNA, internal transcribed spacer 1, and 5.8S ribosomal RNA". The record is from RNAcentral.
UUUCCAUAGGUGAACCUGCGGAAGGAUCAUUACCGAGUGAGGGCCCUCUGGGUCCAACCUCCCACCCGUGUUUAUCGUACCUUGUUGCUUCGGCGGGCCCGCCUCACGGCCGCCGGGGGGCACCCGCCCCCGGGCCCGCGCCCGCCGAAGACACCAUUGAACGCUGUCUGAAGAUUGCAGUCUGAGCAUCUUAGCUAAAUCAGUUAAAACUUUCAACAACGGAUCUCUUGGUUCCG